Pan troglodytes (chimpanzee) is the source of this 614-nucleotide long non-coding RNA. RefSeq lists it as uncharacterized. The transcript is spliced from 4 exons. The record is from RefSeq and is a predicted model, not a curated record. Lineage: Eukaryota; Metazoa; Chordata; Mammalia; Primates; Hominidae.
AUGAGUUCUCACGAGAUCUGUUGGCUUUAUAAGUGGUGGUUUCCCCUGUUCUCGCUCUUUCCUGCUGCCUUGUGAAGAAGGUGCUUGCUUCUCCUUUGCCUUGUGCCGUGAUUGUAAGUUUCCUGAGGCCUCCCCAACCAUGCAGAACUGAGCAGACAAUUGAGAGGCCUGGCUCAUGGAUGGGUUUGAACCACCUCAGGACUGAAGAUGAGCGGCUCAGUUUCACUAACAACAAGAACAGUGACAAAUUCCCUGCCCGGCCAAAGUCCUGUGGUCCUUAUGCAGAUGCCAGUGGCACCCCUGUCCCAGAUGUGACAACCAAAAAUGAUGUCAGACAUUGCUGAAUUGUCCCCUGGAGGAGGAGAAAAAUCAACCCCUUUGAGAACUGCUGGGCAGCUCUAAAGGCACUGGCGAAUCCUGAGACCUUCUCAGGCCUAUAUCAGCCAGGAUCUUCAUUUAUUGUCUGGAUACCUGUUUCUGGAAGGCAUCCUAGUCUCUUCCUUUCAUAAAUGAAAGGAAGGGAGAGUGAAGAGUAUACUUCCCCUCAAAGAAAGAGAAAAGCAAUAUAAAGAAUUAAUCAAUGCUACCCAAAGAAGAUGGUUUGUUCCACAUAG